ACGAGUUUUGAAAUGGGUUGUUGCUGGCCUUCCGAGGCAUGUGCACGCCCUGCUCAUCCACUCUACACCUGUGCACUUACUGUAGGUUGGCGUGGGUUUCUAGCCUCCGGGCUGGAAGCAUUCUGCCGGCCUAUGUACACUACAAACUCUAAAGUAUCAGAAUGUAAACGCGUCUAACGCAUCUUAAUA
Molecule: unclassified non-coding RNA, 189 nt
Filed under: uncultured Trametes
Lineage: Eukaryota; Fungi; Basidiomycota; Agaricomycetes; Polyporales; Polyporaceae
Description: sequence contains ITS1
Source: RNAcentral